GAACGCGAAGAACCUUACCCGGGCUUGAAUUGCAGAGGAAUUAUUUAGAGAUAAAUAUGCCUUCGGGGUCUCUGUGAAGGUGCUGCAUGGUUGUCGUCAGCUCGUGCCGUGAGGUGUCGGCUUAAGUGCCAUAACGAGCGCAACCCCUUUUCUUAGUUGCCAUCAGGUAAUGCUGGGCACUCUGGGAACACUGCCACCGCAAGGUGUGAGGAAGGUGGGGAUGACGUCAAAUCAGCACGGCCUUACGUCCGGGGCUACACACGUGUUACAAUGGCCGGUACAGAGGGAUGGUGUAAUGCAAAUUGCAUCAAAUCUUAAAAGCCGGUCCCAGUUCGGACUGAGGUCUGCAACCCGACCUCACGAAGCUGGAUUCGCUAGUAAUCGCGCAUCAGCCAUGGCGCGGUGAAUACGUUCCCGGGUCUUGUACACACC
RNAcentral lists this ribosomal RNA (432 nucleotides) under uncultured bacterium. RNAcentral describes it as "bacterial SSU rRNA". It matches the Rfam family "Bacterial small subunit ribosomal RNA", at positions 957 to 1391 of the family's 1533-position model. The record is from RNAcentral.